UUCUAUAGCUAUUAAUAAGUGGAGAGCUUUUAACUCUUUGAUACAUAUUAAAUUAUGUUGGAGA
Mercenaria mercenaria is the source of this 64-nucleotide non-coding RNA. NCBI's taxonomy places the organism in Eukaryota, Metazoa, Mollusca, Bivalvia, Venerida, Veneridae. The record is from the annotation of a RefSeq genome assembly.